UAUUUGUAUUCAUCUUCAUACAUAUUACACUCGGAGAUAACCUUUAGUCUUGCUGUUUCUAUCUAAAAAGAAUUCUUACGCUAGCAUUCAGUGUUUCAUUUAAUCAACUUAGAAAUGUCAGUCAUUUAGAUUGCAUUAUUGGAUAUUUUUGUUUUCUUUAAGCUAUUUUUUACUACUGAUUAGUAGACUUGAUAUCAAACUCGCUUAAAUAUUCAAUUUUCUAUAAGCUCAGCUCCUCUCAUCGUCUCAGAUUAACGGCCAGUGAAUAUGAAGAAGUAUUUAAUAAUAUUGUUGUGUUUCUGGCAAUCACAACUCCACUAUAUACCAGGUUGUCGAUCACACGAAAUAACUCAUGAGGACAUAAAAGAGGCAAUGCUUAGUCUUGUUCAUUUGAUUCGCGAAAACACGGAGAAGUUAGAGCGACAUGAAAUUCGUGAACGUCAUUUAGGAGACCAAGUCAAAAAAAGUUUAGGGAUACUAUCUAAAAAGAUUAUAGAUAUUGAAGAAAUACGAAGACACUUGCAAAAGUUUGACACAAGAGUUACCAGUCUUGAAAGAUCUCUUGCUAAGAUGACAAACAUGAGUGAAAAAGUUGAUGAAAUUUAUAGUUCAAUGAUGACAAGCAAACAUAAUCUUGACUUUCCUCAAAAGCAUGGAGAAACAGAUUUUUCUGGUAACUAUCAUCUAAUUGAAAGUCAAACAGAAAUGAUCAAAAACCUUACAAGAAAACUCGAAGAUUCUCAAUCUCAACAACAUAAAGAGGCUAGGAUUAUUUCUGAUUACCAGAUCCGUGAUCCCGGGGCUGCUGUUAGCGCUUUUUCCUUGAAUAGGCCCUCCGGUUGGUCCUUGCAGCGGAUGGAUGUGGAUGGAUUUGUCGAAUGUCAGUAUUGUCUCAGUUGUGAGCUAAGGAAGAAGAAUGUACACCAUCCAGCACAAUUUUGAAGGCUAUGGAACUUGGUUCCAGAUGGUUCUUGACAUUUAUGGAGAGAAGGACUUAAGGAAAGGUAUCCGCCUGUUGGGCUUCUUGGCGCGCCCGAUCAACCCUCACGAAGGGUUGCUCGUGGCGGCCAGGAUGGAAAUUUUGUUUGGGAACCUUCCUCUGGAGGUCCUGGGGGCCGUGACCUAUUUCUGCCUGCAGGGCCCGGAGAUUGUAGAGGACCCUUGGGCCUUGAAGGAGGUAAUUUCUCCGAACAGCGGGGACCUGGAGCAGUUGAGGAUCGCUCUCAUGGAAGCGAUCCUUAACGGUUUGGUCACCAUGGCGUAAGCUAGACGUAUCGGAUGUCACCGGACGGCUGGGUGCCGUAAAUAUAAUUAU
RNAcentral lists this unclassified non-coding RNA (1315 nucleotides) under Cotesia glomerata. RNAcentral describes it as "uncharacterized LOC123274037, transcript variant X4". Lineage: Eukaryota; Metazoa; Arthropoda; Insecta; Hymenoptera; Braconidae. The record is from RNAcentral.